GAUCUGCCUGAAUUCUGUCUGUUGGUGAAACAAAACAGAUCUGUGAGGAGGCAGGAAUGACAGUCCUGGCCUUUUCAGGCUCUGACUAUGUGCAUCUUGUGUAUCAGCUGAAAACAAAGUUCCAAUCACUGUUUACAUUGUAAGGGCAUUGAUGAAACUGUCUUUCUUAUAUAACUAGCUCUUUUAGAAUCAGGUCAGGCUACCUGGGGUGGUGGGAGGUUUUUUUUUUUCUCCUUCAUGCUCUACUUCUAAUGUAGCUUUUUAAACCUUUUGUAUUUUUUUAAAAACUUCAGAUCACUCUUGUUUAUUGUUUUCUGGAAAAUACUGUUUCUCAGUUAAUGCCUGAAAUUCCCAUUCAUCUCCUAUAAACAGAGGGAUCAUUUCACCAUUUAAAAUUAAGAUUUAAUGUCUUUUUGGCUUUAACUUACAAGGAUGUAGUGAGAUAGGUUGCACGCUAUUUUCUAUUUACUUAAAUUCAUUUAAAAUUCAUAUUUACUGAUUGCAUCUGAGUUCUAAAUACCAGCCAUUUAUAGCAACCACGGGCUAAUAUGACUUGUGAGAAGCAUGCUAUCCUCUGAAUGGCAGGGACAUGUUAUCUAUUUUAAAUUCAUAUUUUAAUUGUGUAUGUAGAACUCUCCAAAAACCUGUAAUCUGGACUUGGUUUUAGAACCACCCCUGAAAGUUUUCAUAUUGGUUUCAUGUUAAUAGUAUUGUGGGGUGCAUAAUUAUACCCCAUCUUGCACCUUUGAAACCAGCUAUACAACCUUGUUUAUUGAACAUUUUGUUUUUUUCUGUCUAGAAGGGGGGAUUGCAAGAUGCUUGCAUUCGACUGUUUGAAAAAAAGCACCACGUUAUUGUAAUUGAAUAAUCAUCUAAGAAGGCACUGUGUAGGAUCAGCAGACCAUGAAUUGACCGCGGGAAAGAAUCUGAGUGGUGAAGAUGGUGAAGCUAAGAAGUGAUCUGAUGACAAAGAUAAUUGCUUGACGAAGGUCACUUUGAUGGAUUCAGCUUAUGUUUCUCUGUAUUGGACUCUAAAAACUGGAAGACCACCUCCUGCUUCAGUGGGCUCUGCCAUUUUGUGUUUCCAGAGGAGACAAGUGCAGUUGAUGGUGCUCUCUUAUGAACACCUUACUUUUGUUCUCUUGUUUAGUUGUUUUUUUAAUCUAAA
Molecule: long non-coding RNA, 1168 nt
Organism: Dermochelys coriacea (leatherback sea turtle)
Lineage: Eukaryota; Metazoa; Chordata; Testudines; Dermochelyidae
Exons: 3
Source: RefSeq, a predicted model, not a curated record